Molecule: ribosomal RNA, 497 nt
Filed under: uncultured bacterium
Lineage: Bacteria
Description: partial 16S ribosomal RNA
Rfam family: Bacterial small subunit ribosomal RNA
Source: RNAcentral
GAUGAACGCUGGCGGCGUGCCUAAUACAUGCAAGUCGAGCGAACAGACGAGGAGCUUGCUCCUCUGACGUUAGCGGCGGACGGGUGAGUAACACGUGGAUAACCUACCUAUAAGACUGGGAUAACUUCGGGAAACCGGAGCUAAUACCGGAUAAUAUAUUGAACCGCAUGGUUCAAUAGUGAAAGACGGUUUUGCUGUCACUUAUAGAUGGAUCCGCGCCGCAUUAGCUAGUUGGUAAGGUAACGGCUUACCAAGGCAACGAUGCGUAGCCGACCUGAGAGGGUGAUCGGCCACACUGGAACUGAGACACGGUCCAGACUCCUACGGGAGGCAGCAGUAGGGAAUCUUCCGCAAUGGGCGAAAGCCUGACAGAGCAACGCCGCGUGAGUGAUGAAGGUCUUCGGAUCGUAAAACUCUGUUAUUAGGGAAGAACAAAUGUGUAAGUAACUAUGCACGUCUUGACGGUACCUAAUCAGAGAGCCACGGCUAACUACGUG